Molecule: ribosomal RNA, 253 nt
Filed under: uncultured bacterium
Lineage: Bacteria
Description: partial 16S ribosomal RNA
Rfam family: Bacterial small subunit ribosomal RNA
Source: RNAcentral
UACGAAGGGGGCUAGCGUUGCUCGGAAUCACUGGGCGUAAAGCGCACGUAGGCGGAUUGCUAAGUCAGGGGUGAAAUCCCAGAGCUCAACUCUGGAACUGCCUUUGAUACUGGGUAUCUUGAGUAUGGAAGAGGUAAGUGGAAUUCCGAGUGUAGAGGUGAAAUUCGUAGAUAUUCGGAGGAACACCAGUGGCGAAGGCGGCUUACUGGUCCAUUACUGACGCUGAGGUGCGAAAGCGUGGGGAGCAAACAGG